This 497-nucleotide ribosomal RNA is filed under the name uncultured bacterium. RNAcentral's name for it is "partial 16S ribosomal RNA". It matches the Rfam family "Bacterial small subunit ribosomal RNA", at positions 28 to 507 of the family's 1533-position model. The record is from RNAcentral.
GAUGAACGCUGGCGGCGUGCCUAAUACAUGCAAGUCGAGCGAACAGACGAGGAGCUUGCUCCUCUGACGUUAGCGGCGGACGGGUGAGUAACACGUGGAUAACCUACCUAUAAGACUGGGGUAACUUCGGGAAACCGGAGCUAAUACCGGAUAAUAUAUUGAACCGCAUGGUUCAAUAGUGAAAGACGGUUUUGCUGUCACUUAUAGAUGGAUCCGCGCCGUUUUAGCUAGUUGGUAAGGUAACGGCCUACAAAGGCAACGAUGCGUAGCCGACCUGAGAGGGUGAUCGGCCAAACUGGAACUGCGACACGGUCCAGACUCCUACGGGAGGCAGCAGUAGGGAAUCUUCCACAAUGGGCGAAAGCCUGACGGAGCAACGCCGCGUGAGUGAUGAAGGUCUUCGGGUCGUAAAACUCUGUUAUUAGGCAAGAACAAAAGUAUAAGUAACUAUGCACGUCUUGACGGUCCCUAACCAGAAAGCCACGGCUAACUACGUG